RNAcentral lists this long non-coding RNA (378 nucleotides) under Homo sapiens (human). RNAcentral's name for it is "non-protein coding lnc-ALDH3B1-2:8". Lineage: Eukaryota; Metazoa; Chordata; Mammalia; Primates; Hominidae. The record is from RNAcentral.
CAGACAGACAAGGGGAGGGGCUCCUGUGAUGGGAUCAGUCAGAUGCCUGCCUGGCCGCUCCCCCUGAGGGGACUUGGGCUCCUCUUAACAUUGGCAGGCUGGUAUAAACUUCCGGCUCAGAUCAAGCUAUGCCUGAUGCUGCCUUAAGCCUUAUGAGGUCGCCACGGAACCGCAGAAACUCCUGGAGGGCAGAGCUGUGUCUGCCAUCUUCAUCAUUGCAUUACCACCACCAAGCACAGUGCCUGGCACAAAAGAGUUGCUCAAUAAAUAAAUCAGGAUGAAUGGAUAAAUACAUGGAUAGGCACUUUGAGCUACAGAUGAGUUUAAAUACUUUGUGUUUUUCUUAGUCAAACAUGUGCAAUUAAGCAUGUGAUAAAU